GGACGGGUGUCUCCGGUGUCUCGACAUCCUCACUUUCUCAGCUGGGACCGCCUAGCCUGUACCCGCAUUUGCCAGGACCCACAUGGACUAUCCUCAGGAAAAUGAGAUCCAGGAAGAGUGACGCCCUCCUCGAACUGAAAGAUACUCAGGUUGAUGGAGUCAGGGACGAAGUGGCUUAUCAACAACACAGGAUGUCUGCAGGGAACAGAACUUAUUCAGACAUGGCCCAGAUUGUCUGCCCGUGGGGACUGAGGGACCUCUGAGGGUUACAUCAGGAAGGAAGGAGAGGCUGUUUCUACAGGUGCCACAGAAAAAUCGAUGCUGAGCCUCGGAUUAUUGGAUCCCAUAGAACCGUGGAGACUUGGCAGUGAAAUUCUUCCAAAGGCAGAGGUUUUCCUGGUUUGGGAAGUAUAAAUCCCGUGGGAAGUCAACUGGAGGACAUUUUACGCGUCACUCAUCCUAUUAUGAGCCUGCUGCUCCUCCGUCUCUUGACAAGCUGUCUGAGAUGCCAACACCACAGAGCACAAUAUCUUUGAGUUGGAAACAUGUCAUUUGCUUGCGUCUCGUCAUCCUUUGGGGUUUUUCUAGACUCCCUGCCUCUUCUGUUUCUCGUCGAUGCUUCCAUUGUAUUCCAGUUGGCAGCUAAAGGACAGGAGCAGCAAUAAGGCUUCCUGGCUACAUUUUCAUGGUGCCACCAACUGCGAGUUAAGCUGACAAACAUUUUGAGAGCUCGGCCCAUUUCAUUCCCAGCAGGAUGGCAGGAGUUAACUAAAACAGAAUAAACUAAAAAUUGUGCCUUCAUUGCACAUUUGCACUGAUUAUCAGCACUGAAAAUGGCUAAGUUCUGCUUAUCAAGAGCGGGUGACUGAUUGUCCCUGCCAGCUGGCUAAUAUCAUAAUUAGCAAAGUUGCUACCACAUCUGCAAAGUUUAAUCGAAAAAUUUACCAGUGGUAUGAUGGCAUUGUCACCGCGAUCCUGAGGGAAUCAGAGUCGACUUCUGCUUCAACUGGAAUGGCAAGGCUGUAGAGCUGAGAUGAGAAACUGUAAACUUGCUCAGCCAAAGGAAAUAAUAUGCUCCAGAGAAUCCUCUAAUUCACCGAAAAUGGACUUGGAUAACAUUUGGGUUCUCAUACUACCACAGUCCUCUUGAGAAGGACAGCCAGGCUUGGGUGGCAGUGGUGAGGAAGGUUCCUUUCUGUCAAGGGAGCUGAUGCCUUAAAGAAGCUAUCUCCAGAUAAAGGGAGAUCUAAGGAAGGAAGCCAACGAAAGACACCAUGUACCAGAAAGCCAAGCAGGAUUUUGACAUUUAUAACCAUAAUCUCUAUAAACAAGAUGAAUUAUGGCUGGGGAUUCAGUUAGUAAAUCAACGAAAAUAAAUCCUGGUAAGUGCAUAAUUCAAAGAUAACCCAAAUAAGAACAGAAAGUUGUGUGUCAUAGUCACUGGCAUCUAUCCGGUGCUUCUGAACCAUGAACCACAUGACCUGAUUAAAGAGGUUGCUGUGAGUGUGUUGUACUCUUCGUGAACUAAAUUCCAUGAUGACAGAAAACAAACCUGAAAACAAGAGUUAUUUCACAACUCUAGAGCUCCACAGAGUCGGCUGCAAUUGGUUGAGUUGAGGUGAAUUUUCAGUGGACCUGGAUCAGUGUAGAAGGGCAGGAACAUUGGCCCAGCACAGCCCCAGGCUGUGCAGCAUUCAAUGUGACUUGGGACUGGCCUUCCUGGCUCUGCCUUGCCGGUGAAACAUGGAUUGGAAGCUUUGAAUGUUGGAAGAAAUAAACAAGUCUUGGUUGGAGUCCCAGUUUCAAUAACCACAUAUUUUCAAACCUAGACAAAUAUUCUGGUCUCAUCUCCUCAUUUGGAUUACUUCAAUCCUCGGAGAGAACGGAAUAGGACUCUGUAUUUCUUUGGAUGUUCAACACAGUGUUUAACUAAUGGGUGCUAUUUGAAAUAUUAUCGUCUAUUAUCAUUGCUAUUCUAAUAAGGAUGAUACUUGCUAUAAAUAUUAUUGAGAAAAAAAACUUGGAAGUGUUCUUGAGCAACAUAAACAGUACAAAAUGACAGAUAUUAAACACCGUUCUUUUUUGCACGUAAAACUAUACAAAUAAAAAUAUAGAAAAGCUUGCA
This 2125-nucleotide long non-coding RNA is filed under the name Mus musculus (house mouse). The record is from RNAcentral. Lineage: Eukaryota; Metazoa; Chordata; Mammalia; Rodentia; Muridae.